Molecule: ribosomal RNA, 253 nt
Filed under: uncultured bacterium
Lineage: Bacteria
Description: partial 16S ribosomal RNA
Rfam family: Bacterial small subunit ribosomal RNA
Source: RNAcentral
UACGGGGGGGGCAAGCGUUGUUCGGAAUUACUGGGCGUAAAGGGUUCGUAGGUGGCUUGCUAAGUCAGACGUGAAAUCCCUCAGCUUAACUGGGGAACUGCGUCUGAGACUGGCAAGCUUGAGUGCAGGAGAGGAAUGCGGAAUUCCAGGUGUAGCGGUGAAAUGCGUAGAUAUCAGGAAGAACACCGAUGGCGAAAGCAGCUCUCUGGGACGGUACUGACGCUGAGGCGCGAAAGCGUGGGGAGCGAACAGG